Molecule: long non-coding RNA, 653 nt
Organism: Seriola aureovittata
Lineage: Eukaryota; Metazoa; Chordata; Actinopteri; Carangiformes; Carangidae
Exons: 4
Source: RefSeq, a predicted model, not a curated record
UCAUUUCAUUUUAUUUCUAAACUUUUAUACAUUCUCAUUCAUCUUCAGAGGAAAAGUCUCUCUACAAGCUUUCUUAUGUCUUAAAUUCAGCCCGUCGCCGCUUUGUCUGCUUUUUUCUUCUCUGUAUUUUCACAACAUGGAAGGAAGUGUGCUGCAUAUGGACUCUGCUCGCUCUCUUCUCUGCAUGCUGACCACUUGGAACUUCAACAUCAAAGCACAAACGCUACCAGAUCACAUCACAGCCGGCUCAAAUAUGUCCCGCCACCAGGAGACCAGGACCAGGCACCGGCCGGCACACCGCUCCAACUCCGGCUCUUCACUCCUUGCGCUCACAUGUCCAUCACGCCGGAAGCUGGCGGCCACCCAUCACAAAAGAAGGAUCACGGCGCAGUCGACAGGCCUCAGCUCUGACCGCCGCCUGGAACACACACAUCACCUGGAACCCUCCACCUCCUCUUUGGCGCUCCGCCCUCCCGCGUCCAACUGACCGGACCGGACGCCGCGGGACGCACAUCUGCUGGUGACUAUUGCUUAUAUACAUAUCACCACAUUGAUUAGAUCUUGUGUUUAACUGAGUUCCCCUCUUAAGAUACACACCCAAUUAAAACUCAUCCUUCACAACAGGCCUCUGUUUGUUUCAGCAGCUGGAAACA